CAGCACGGACUUCGGUCUGGUGGCGAGUGGCGAACGGGUGAGUAAUGUAUCGGAACGUGCCCAGUAGCGGGGGAUAACUACGCGAAAGCGUAGCUAAUACCGCAUACGCCCUACGGGGGAAAGCAGGGGAUCGCAAGACCUUGCACUAUUGGAGCGGCCGAUAUCGGAUUAGCUAGUUGGUGGGGUAACGGCUCACCAAGGCGACGAUCCGUAGCUGGUUUGAGAGGACGACCAGCCACACUGGGACUGAGACACGGCCCAGACUCCUACGGGAGGCAGCAGUGGGGAAUUUUGGACAAUGGGGGAAACCCUGAUCCAGCCAUCCCGCGUGUGCGAUGAAGGCCUUCGGGUUGUAAAGCACUUUUGGCAGGAAAGAAACGUCAUGGGUUAAUACCCCGUGAAACUGACGGUACCUGCAGAAUAAGCACCGGCUAACUACGUGCCAGCAGCCGCGGUAAUACGUAGGGUGCAAGCGUUAAUCGGAAUUACUGGGCGUAAAGCGUGCGCAGGCGGUUCGGAAAGAAAGAUGUGAAAUCCCAGAGCUUAACUUUGGAACUGCAUUUUUAACUACCGGGCUAGAGUGUGUCAGAGGGAGGUGGAAUUCCGCGUGUAGCAGUGAAAUGCGUAGAUAUGCGGAGGAACACCGAUGGCGAAGGCAG
Molecule: ribosomal RNA, 659 nt
Filed under: Achromobacter sp.
Lineage: Bacteria; Pseudomonadati; Pseudomonadota; Betaproteobacteria; Burkholderiales; Alcaligenaceae
Description: bacterial SSU rRNA
Rfam family: Bacterial small subunit ribosomal RNA
Source: RNAcentral